Molecule: long non-coding RNA, 2427 nt
Filed under: Oncorhynchus kisutch (coho salmon)
Lineage: Eukaryota; Metazoa; Chordata; Actinopteri; Salmoniformes; Salmonidae
Description: lncRNA (ENSOKIG00005016616.1)
Source: RNAcentral
CAUUGAUGGUGAUGCUUUCCAGACAAUGAGUGAUGCUGGAUUUCCUGGGUUACGCAAAUAGCCUAGUACUCAGACUAGGUAGAGAGAUCUGAAAGCCUAUCUUUAGGUUUUCCGUGGUUUGAGGGGUUCGAAGUGUUGAGUUUAGGUAGGCCUACGCAAUGUUUUCCUUUCAAAAAUGCAUUAUUGGUCAAAAUUCUGAGUUUGUCAAGACUGGUAUAAUCGUUUGUUUGUGAUUCUAGGAGUGAUUCCAGCCAAUGGGAAGGUGGAGGUGACCGUCACAUUCAGACCGUUCCAGUAUGACACGUCCCAGGUCACUCUACAGGUGGUCAUCUCCCAGUUCAACUCCAAACCCUAUGUCUGCAGCCUCAGCGGGUCCUCCUCGCCCCACCUGACACUUACGUAUGCCAGAACCAUUUUGAAAUGUUAAAGUCAACAGGAGAAAGACAUGGGACACGCAAAAUACGUUUUGUUUGUUGACAGUCAAGGGCCUCCACCUGUCUCCUUGAGACAGCCUCUGACCAAAACCAAGCAGAGGUCAAUUCGGACACCUGAAAAGUCAAAGACUGUAAGGGAGAGAAGAGAGAGUGAUGCGAAGCUGAGCCUGAAGACUGCAGUUGAUGUGUCCUCCCCUGCUGGAGUGGUCAAGAUACUGAUACAACGGACUGAUAAAUUGAGCUCUUAAGACCUGAGGGAAGGCACCGGUGGGCACGCCUUCCUUUCGCAUGUACUCCAGCAGUCAUCUGGAGAUCAGGCAGAGAGCUCUGAGGCUCUUCCAGCAGGCAGCCCGCAAGGAACAGUACUUAGCCCUCUCUCUUUCACUCCAUUGGCCUUAAAUUAGGCCCUAUAGGCAUCGAGUGCCUCAUCCCAUCCCACUCAACACAACGGUUUCACUCACAAACCACAAGCCAAAACCCUGUGAGGCGGUGUGUAUACUCUCUAUGAUAACGAUCUUAAGACAUGUCAUAAAAUUGUGUAGUAGUCCCUGUCGUAUGUCUGGGAUGGGAAUUCCUAAGGUAAGCUAUAUUUAAUGAUGUAGCCUACAUUCAACCAAAUGACAAACUGUAAAACCAGUAUGUUUUACAAUAUCUCAUAGGCAGUUGGAAAGCUGACAAUGUCCAAGUCCUGGUUCUCUUUAAUAUCAAAUGUAUCCCAAUGCACACUUGAAAACAUUUUUGGGUUUUGUAUUUAUAUCAUUCUCUAUUUGAGCAAGAAACAUGUACCGUAACAGAUGUCAUACAGCAGGAAGAGGGUUUACUCACAAACAUGCAUAACCUUUCGAAACAACACAACCUCUGAGUGCACCAUGUGUUUCAGGUGGUGAUUCAAUGUCGUGUGAACAACAGACUGGUCUCGUUGAGGCAGCUGACUCAAAGCUUGAAGCGCCUGUCCACAGGAGUAAGAGGUAUUGCACUGUUGAGACCCCACAGGGAAAACGUGUUCUCUAUUUGACACAGGUAUAUGAUCAAAAUACAUACCUGAACGAUGCAGCACACGCAUUUGUUGUGCCAAAAUUUAAAAAAAUAUAUUUUCAAAUGAUGUGAACCCCCAAGUCAUUUUGAUGUUGGAAGCAAGCAAGAUGCAUGCAUUUUUCUGUUUUCAGUUGAGGAGGAGCCCCUUCAUCCCCUGAAGAUCUCACCAGACAACGUGAUUCCUUUCACAUUCUGAUCAACUGGUAAAUGCAGUGCACUUUGAUCAAAAGCCAUCUUGUUCUUGCGUGGACUACUUGAAAAGAAGGGACACUGAUUUGAUUUGCCCAGUAGCUUGUAUUCAUUAAAAUGAUUUAGUGAAAAUGACCAUAACGUCGUGUUGGCCUUGUACUUUAUGCCCAGGCUCCCAAUGCAUGGGGUGCCGUCCAUGUUAGGCCCAUUGAGGCCCUGGUCAAAUGACACACUCCGUUCAUCAAACUGAAGGUACGUUUACAUGAGAGUUCUUUGCCUGAAUAAAGAAUCGUUGAUGUUGCUUGUACAUUGUAGCACUAACAACGAGCUAUGUUUGCCUUUCAGUCACUCAUGUAAACGUACCUGCUGAUGGUGACAGGGAUUUUGCUUAGAAAUUGUACAGUAACGUGCUCACUUGUGUCACAUUACGUGUGUUGUUUUUCAAGGUUCCCCAGCACUACAAGUUAAUGGGGUACCAGCCUGUUUCGGCCUUUGAGGCUGCCGCUAGCUACAUCCCCCCCCAUCCCAGCCCAGGACGCUAUGCACUGGGACACAGGUGAGCCAAGAGACUCACCACCAACACUGUGGGAGACUUACGUAGGUGGUGUGCAAUACACAGAUCCAUUUAUACAAAGGAAAUACAUCACAGUCAAUCCUUUAAGCCUUUUAUGAGACGAUGUACACGUGAUAUAACAUAAACAAUGAUGUGAAUCAGCAAUAACCCUGAGAACUCUGAAUGGUUUGAUUGAUUACUUAAUGGUGUCACUGU